RNAcentral lists this ribosomal RNA (381 nucleotides) under uncultured eukaryote. RNAcentral describes it as "partial 18S ribosomal RNA". It matches the Rfam family "Eukaryotic small subunit ribosomal RNA", at positions 592 to 976 of the family's 1831-position model. The record is from RNAcentral.
CAAUAGCGUAUAUUAAAGCUGUUGCGGUUAAAAAGCUCGUAGUUGGAUUUCUGUCAAGGACAACUGGUCCGCCCUCCGGGUGAGCACAUAGUUUGGUCUUGACAUCUUGCUGGAAGCUGUUGCUGCACUUGGCUGUGUGGCGCAGUGUUCAGCACUUUCACUUUGAGGAAAUUGGAGUGUUUCAAGCAGGCACAUGCCUUUGGACACAGUAGUAUGGAAUAAUUAGAUUGGGCUUUUGCUCCAAUUUGUCGGUUUCUGGAGCUGAGGUGAGUAUUAAUGGGGAUUGUUGGGGGCAUCCGAAUUUAGCCGUCAGAGGUGAAAUUCUUGGAUCUGCUAAAGACGGACAACUGCGAAAGCGUUUGCCCAGGAUGUUUUCAUUGG